AUACUGAUUUAUCCGCAGAAGGAAUCAGAGGCCUCAAAACGCACAUACAUAUGAGUGGUAACAAUGAAGCACCAAUAAUGCAACAGGGCUUACAGAUGAUUGAUAGUAGAUCUGAUGGAUAUCCGAUGUCCAUGACUUUACGUGAUUAUCAGCUCUGUAAAACACAGCACCCCAGGAUUUCUUCACGGCAAAAGAACAGGUGCAAGAAGACCUUAAAAGAAAUAUCUGAAUACUCUGAAGAAAAUUCUCAAGCAGAACAAGCAGCACUACUUGAGAAAAUAAUUUCAAAGUUG
Molecule: unclassified non-coding RNA, 293 nt
Filed under: Hevea brasiliensis (rubber tree)
Lineage: Eukaryota; Viridiplantae; Streptophyta; Magnoliopsida; Malpighiales; Euphorbiaceae
Source: RNAcentral